This 393-nucleotide ribosomal RNA is filed under the name uncultured bacterium. Its description in RNAcentral is "partial 16S ribosomal RNA". It matches the Rfam family "Bacterial small subunit ribosomal RNA", at positions 523 to 918 of the family's 1533-position model. The record is from RNAcentral.
AUACGUAGGGGGCGAGCGUUGUCCGGAAUGAUUGGGCGUAAAGGGCGCGUAGGCGGCCCGGUAAGUCUGGAGUGAAAGUCCUGCUUUUAAGGUGGGAAUUGCUUUGGAUACUGUCGGGCUUGAGUGCAGGAGAGGUAAGUGGAAUUCCCAGUGUAGCGGUGAAAUGCGUAGAGAUUGGGAGGAACACCAGUGGCGAAGGCGACUUAGUGGACUGUAACUGACGCUGAGGCGCGAAUGGGUGGGGAGCAAACAGGAAUAGAUACCCUGGUAGUCCACGCUAUAAACGAUGAGUGCUAGGUGUCGGGGGUCAAUCCUCGGUGCCGCAGUUAACACAUUAAGCUCUCCGCCUGGGGAGUACGGUCGCAAGGCUAAAACUUAAAGGAAUUGGCGGGG